Molecule: ribosomal RNA, 498 nt
Filed under: uncultured bacterium
Lineage: Bacteria
Description: partial 16S ribosomal RNA
Rfam family: Bacterial small subunit ribosomal RNA
Source: RNAcentral
GACGAACGCUGGCGGCGUGCCUAAUACAUGCAAGUCGAGCGAACCAAUAAGAAGCUUGCUUUUUGUUUGUUAGCGGCGGACGUGUGAGUAACACGUGGGUAACCUGCCUGUAAGACCGGUAUAACUCCGGGAAACCGGUGCUAAUACCGGAUAGAUUAUCUUUCCGCAUGGAGAGAUAAGGAAAGAUUGCUGUUGCCAUCACUUACAGAUGGGCCCGCGGCGCAUUAGCUAUUUGGUGAGAUAACGGCUCACCCAGGCGACGAGGCGUAGCCGAACUGCGCGGGUGAUCGGCCACACUGGGACUGAGCCACCGACCCGACGACUAAGGGAGGCAGCAGUAGGGAAUGUUCCGCAAUGGACGAAAGUCUGACGGAGCAACGCAGCGUGAGAGAAGAAGGUCUUCGGAUCGUAACGCUCUGUUGUUAGGGAAGAACAAGUAUCGGAGGAAAUGCAGGUAAAUUGACGGUACCUGCAGAGAAAGCCACGGCUAACUACGUG